Molecule: non-coding RNA, 366 nt
Filed under: Pongo abelii (Sumatran orangutan)
Lineage: Eukaryota; Metazoa; Chordata; Mammalia; Primates; Hominidae
Source: RNAcentral
GUGACUCCUUCGAGCCUUCCAGAAAGCAUGUGAGAAGGAAGCCCUACUCUACUACCAAGGUGACUUCAGGGAGCACAUUCAAGGAGGUUUUAAGAAGAUACGCCGUGUACACCAUCCAGCAUCGGAGGCAUCAUGACUCCUGGGUAAAGAAGAAGAUGUACCCACAAGAAGAUGACUUCCAUCAUACAGUUUUCAGCAACCUUGAAAGACUGGACAAGCUUCAGCCCACUCUUGAAGCCUCUGAGGAGUCUCUAGUUCACAAGGACAGAGGAGAUGGAGAGAGGCCGGUCAAUGCGAGGGUGGUGCAGGUGGCCCCUCUGAGGUGUGAAUCUACUCCCUGUGGGGACGCUGUACAAGACAUCUCUA